GUGGGGAAUAUUGGACAAUGGGGGGAACCCUGAUCCAGCCAUGCCGCGUGUGUGAAGAAGGCCUUUUGGUUGUAAAGCACUUUAAGCGAGGAGGAGGCUACCGAGAUUAAUACUCUUGGAUAGUGGACGUUACUCGCAGAAUAAGCACCGGCUAACUCUGUGCCAGCAGCCGAGGUAAUACAGAGGGUGCAAGCGUUAAUCGGAUUUACUGGGCGUAAAGCGCGCGUAGGUGGCCAAUUAAGUCAAAUGUGAAAUCCCCGAGCUUAACUUGGGAAUUGCAUUCGAUACUGGUUGGCUAGAGUAUGGGAGAGGAUGGUAGAAUUCCAGGUGUAGCGGUGAAAUGCGUAGAGAUCUGGAGGAAUACCGAUGGCGAAGGCAGCCAUCUGGCCUAAUACUGACACUGAGGUGCGAAAGCAUGGGGAGCAAACAGGAUUAGAUACCCUGGUAGUCC
This 451-nucleotide ribosomal RNA is filed under the name uncultured bacterium. RNAcentral describes it as "partial 16S ribosomal RNA". It matches the Rfam family "Bacterial small subunit ribosomal RNA", at positions 354 to 796 of the family's 1533-position model. The record is from RNAcentral.